RNAcentral lists this ribosomal RNA (428 nucleotides) under uncultured bacterium. RNAcentral's name for it is "partial 16S ribosomal RNA". It matches the Rfam family "Bacterial small subunit ribosomal RNA", at positions 354 to 796 of the family's 1533-position model. The record is from RNAcentral.
GUUAGGAAUAUUGGGCAAUGGAGGAAACUCUGACCCAGCAACGCCGCGUGAAGGAUGAAGGUUUUCGGAUUGUAAACUUCUGUUCUAUGGGAAAAAACAAAUGAUGGUACCAUAGGAGAAAGCCACGGCUAACUACGUGCCAGCAGCCGCGGUAAUACGUAGGUGGCAAGCGUUGUUCGGAAUGACUGGGCGUAAAGGGAGCGUAGGUUGUUUUUUAAGUUAAAUGUGAAAGCCCGGGGCUUAACUCCGGAAUGCCAUUUAAUACUGGAAGACUAGAGUGCAGGAGGGGUGAGCGGAAUUCCUAGUGUAGCGGUGGAAUGCGUAGAUAUUAGGAAGAACACCAGAGGCGAAGGCGGCUCACUGGACUGUUACUGACACUGAGGCUCGAAAGCGUGGGGAGCAAACAGGAUUAGAUACCCCAGUAGUCC